This 301-nucleotide ribosomal RNA is filed under the name uncultured bacterium. Its description in RNAcentral is "partial 16S ribosomal RNA". It matches the Rfam family "Bacterial small subunit ribosomal RNA", at positions 509 to 809 of the family's 1533-position model. The record is from RNAcentral.
CAGCAGCCACGGGAAUACGUAGGUGGCAAGCGUUGUCCGGAAUUAUUGGGCGUAAAGGGCUCGCAGGCGGUUUCUUAAGUCUGAUGUGAAAGCCCCCGGCUCAACCGGGGAGGGUCAUUGGAAACUGGGAAACUUGAGUGCAGAAGAGGAGAGUGGAAUUCCACGUGUAGCGGUGAAAUGCGUAGAGAUGUGGAGGAACACCAGUGGCGAAGGCGACUCUCUGGUCUGUAACUGACGCUGAGGAGCGAAAGCGUGGGGAGCAAACAGGAUUAGAUACCCCGGUAGUCCCUGUCUCUUAUAA